GCCGAGGUAGCUCAGUGGUAGAGCAGCCGAUUCGUAAUCGGCAGGUCGUGGGUUCAACUCCCACUCUCGGCUCCA
This 75-nucleotide transfer RNA is filed under the name Acidobacteriota bacterium. Its description in RNAcentral is "Acidobacteria bacterium tRNA-Thr". It matches the Rfam family "tRNA". From Rfam's summary of the family: Transfer RNA (tRNA) molecules are approximately 80 nucleotides in length. Their secondary structure includes four short double-helical elements and three loops (D, anti-codon, and T loops). The record is from RNAcentral. RNAcentral also lists the same sequence under 13 other names. Lineage: Bacteria; Pseudomonadati; Acidobacteriota.